AAGUCGUAACAAGGUUUCCGUAGGUGAACCUGCGGAAGGAUCAUUAACACGUAUCCAACGUUAAACCCCCCGUGCAUCUUUAGAGAGCUCUUGUAAGCCCAUUAUGAUAGCAAUCCUGGUAAAUCAGUGGCGAAAGUAGUCUUUGAUUCAGGACCUCUGUCUGGUGAGAACCUAGCGGUAAGCGAGCAAUUGAGCCUUUUAUCGUCAGUCUGGAGUCCUGGCCGGGCGAAUGAAAGUGUCGCUGGACGGUUUCUAGGGUAAGGCUUCGCCAUCACUGGAGGCUCAACACGCCUUUAUGACGACCAAGUUAAAUAAGGCCUCUACCACAUAGCAAGUGCGCCGUGGUAGAGGAAAACGUACAACUGUUAACAAUGGAUAUCUUGGUUCUC
Molecule: unclassified non-coding RNA, 389 nt
Filed under: fungal sp.
Lineage: Eukaryota; Fungi
Description: partial internal transcribed spacer region
Rfam family: Eukaryotic small subunit ribosomal RNA (bases 1-46)
Source: RNAcentral